RNAcentral lists this ribosomal RNA (253 nucleotides) under uncultured bacterium. RNAcentral's name for it is "partial 16S ribosomal RNA". It matches the Rfam family "Bacterial small subunit ribosomal RNA", at positions 524 to 776 of the family's 1533-position model. The record is from RNAcentral.
UACGUAGGCAGCAAGCGUUGUUCGGAAUUACUGGGCGUAAAGAGUGUGUAGGCGGUGUUCUAAGUUUGUCGUGAAAUCUCCCGGCUUAACUGGGAGGGUGCGGCGAAAACUGGAAUGCUAGAGGAUGGGAGAGGUAAGCGGAAUUCCUGGUGUAGCGGUGAAAUGCGUAGAUAUCUGGAGGAACACCGGUGGCGAAGGCGGCAUCCUGGACCGGCAUUGACGCUGAGGCGCGAAAGCUAGGGGAGCAAACGGG